RNAcentral lists this long non-coding RNA (465 nucleotides) under Marmota monax (woodchuck). The record is from RNAcentral. Lineage: Eukaryota; Metazoa; Chordata; Mammalia; Rodentia; Sciuridae.
UGGAACUAGGGAAUCGGGAAAGUGAGGACAUGCCUCGCAAUAACAGGCUGACGCGUCUAAGUUUAUAAUUUAGGAGAUAUCUUUAGGUGUCAGCUAGAUUGGACCUUGAUUAUGUCUCCUUUUAUAGAAGGGAAACUGAGACUCAGAGCCCAUUUAGGGGCUAUAGAGCAAGAGAAAGGAAGCACGUGUUCUAGAAAUUAGUAUCUUUUGCUUGUGCCUCUCUGCAAAGCUACCUUGAAAAUUAAGAGAAAAGACCAUAGCAUAUGUGAAUACCUGGGUUCAGUCUCCAUCGCGCCUGUGCAUGCGCGUGCGCACACACACACACAGAAAAGUGGGGGAUAGGCAUGCUGUGUUUCUAACUAUCCAAUUAUUUAGAUCACUGGGAAUGGUUAGAACGCUGGAAAUGGCUCCUGGUGGUGAAAGAGCACAGCUCUGCAGCUCUCGGACCUGAGGAACACAAACAAA